UCCUGACUGACCGAUAGUGAACCAGUACCGUGAGGGAAAGGCGAAAAGAACCCCGGCGAGGGGAGUGAAAAAGAACCUGAAACCGUGUACGUACAAGCAGUGGGAGCACGCUUAGGCGUGUGACUGCGUACCUUUUGUAUAAUGGGUCAGCGACUUAUAUUCUGUAGCAAGGUUAACCGAAUAGGGGAGCCGAAGGGAAACCGAGUCUUAACUGGGCGUUAAGUUGCAGGGUAUAGACCCGAAACCCGGUGAUCUAGCCAUGGGCAGGUUGAAGGUUGGGUAACACUAACUGGAGGACCGAACCGACUAAUGUUGAAAAAUUAGCGGAUGACUUGUGGCUGGGGGUGAAAGGCCAAUCAAACCGGGAGAUAGCUGGUUCUCCCCGAAAGCUAUUUAGGUAGCGCCUCGUGAAUUCAUCUCCGGGGGUAGAGCACUGUUUCGGCAAGGGGGUCAUCCCGACUUACCAACCCGAUGCAAACUGCGAAUACCGG
RNAcentral lists this ribosomal RNA (491 nucleotides) under Escherichia coli. RNAcentral's name for it is "partial 23S ribosomal RNA". It matches the Rfam family "Bacterial large subunit ribosomal RNA", at positions 474 to 966 of the family's 2925-position model. RNAcentral also lists the same sequence under 1 other name. The record is from RNAcentral. Lineage: Bacteria; Pseudomonadati; Pseudomonadota; Gammaproteobacteria; Enterobacterales; Enterobacteriaceae.